AUUGAACGCUGGCGGCAGGCCUAACACAUGCAAGUCGAGCGGAUGAAGGGAGCUUGCUCCUGGAUUCAGCGGCGGACGGGUGAGUAAUGCCUAGGAAUCUGCCUGGUAGUGGGGGAUAACGUCCGGAAACGGGCGCUAAUACCGCAUACGUCCUGAGGGAGAAAGUGGGGGAUCUUCGGACCUCACGCUAUCAGAUGAGCCUAGGUCGGAUUAGCUAGUUGGUGGGGUAAAGGCCUACCAAGGCGACGAUCCGUAACUGGUCUGAGAGGAUGAUCAGUCACACUGGAACUGAGACACGGUCCAGACUCCUACGGGAGGCAGCAGUGGGGAAUAUUGGACAAUGGGCGAAAGCCUGAUCCAGCCAUGCCGCGUGUGUGAAGAAGGUCUUCGGAUUGUAAAGCACUUUAAGUUGGGAGGAAGGGCAGUAAGUUAAUACCUUGCUGUUUUGACGUUACCAACAGAAUAAGCACCGCUAAUUC
This 479-nucleotide ribosomal RNA is filed under the name Pseudomonas aeruginosa. Its description in RNAcentral is "bacterial SSU rRNA". It matches the Rfam family "Bacterial small subunit ribosomal RNA", at positions 30 to 503 of the family's 1533-position model. The record is from RNAcentral. Lineage: Bacteria; Pseudomonadati; Pseudomonadota; Gammaproteobacteria; Pseudomonadales; Pseudomonadaceae.